This is a long non-coding RNA of Myotis davidii, 207 nucleotides long. RefSeq lists it as uncharacterized. The record is from RefSeq and is a predicted model, not a curated record. Lineage: Eukaryota; Metazoa; Chordata; Mammalia; Chiroptera; Vespertilionidae. The transcript has 2 exons.
AAACUGAACCAGGCCUGAGGCCGCGGGCCCCGCCGCUCCCGCGCGCCCCCUCGCCGCGCGCCCCUUCGCCUUGCCCGCGCGGGGCCUCCAGCCUGAGCCAGGCUCCUCCGCAGAGCCCGGUGCCGCUUGACGAAGAUGGAUAGAAAUCAUCUGUCCUUAAACUUUAUGAAUCAAUUUUAUUUUUAAAAUAAAAUGUUAAACAUCUUU